Molecule: ribosomal RNA, 305 nt
Filed under: uncultured bacterium
Lineage: Bacteria
Description: bacterial SSU rRNA
Rfam family: Bacterial small subunit ribosomal RNA
Source: RNAcentral
ACCUACGGGGGGCAGCAGUGGGGAAUAUUGCACAAUGGGGGAAACCCUGAUGCAGCGACGCCGCGUGAGUGAAGAAGUAUCUCGGUACGUAAAGCUCUAUCAGCAGGGAAGAAAAUGACGGUACCUGACUAAGAAGCCCCGGCUAACUACGUGCCAGCAGCCGCGGUGAUACGUAGGGGGCAAGCGUUAUCCGGAUUUACUGGGUGUAAAGGGAGCGUAGACGGCAUUGCAAGUCUGAUGUGAAAGAUUGGGGCCCAACCCCAGGCCUGCAUUGGAAACUGUAAAGCUGGAGUACAGGAGAGGUA